UGAGGAAUAUUGGUCAAUGGGCGCAAGCCUGAACCAGCCAAGUAGCGUGCAGGAAGACGGCCCUAUGGGUUGUAAACUGCUUUUAUACGAGAAUAAUUUGAUGCACGUGUGCGUUAUUGCAUGUAUCGUAUGAAUAAGGACCGGCUAAUUCCGUGCCAGCAGCCGCGGUAAUACGGAAGGUCCAGGCGUUAUCCGGAUUUAUUGGGUUUAAAGGGAGUGUAGGCGGUUUGUUAAGCGUGUUGUGAAAUUUAGGUGCUCAACAUUUAACUUGCAGCGCGAACUGUCAGACUUGAGUACACGCAACGUAUGCGGAAUUCAUGGUGUAGCGGUGAAAUGCUUAGAUAUCAUGAAGAACUCCGAUUGCGAAGGCAGCAUACGGGAGUGUAACUGACGCUUAAGCUCGAAGGUGCGGGUAUCGAACAGGAUUAGAUACCCUGGUAGUCCACACAGUAAACGAUGGAUGCCCGCUGUUAGCGCCUGGCGUUAGCGGCUAAGCGGAAGCAUUAAGCAUCCCACCUGGGGAGUACGCCGGCAACGGUG
This 540-nucleotide ribosomal RNA is filed under the name uncultured bacterium. Its description in RNAcentral is "bacterial SSU rRNA". It matches the Rfam family "Bacterial small subunit ribosomal RNA", at positions 355 to 896 of the family's 1533-position model. The record is from RNAcentral.